AAUCAACGCUGGCGGCGUGCCUAACACAUGCAAGUCGAACGCGAAGGUGGAGCAAUCCAUGAGUAGAGUGGCAAACGGGUGAGUAACGCGUGGGCGACCUACCUUCGAGUGGGGGAUAACCUUCCGAAAGGAGGGCUAAUACCGCAUGACAUCCCGUGUUUGGAUACACGGACAUCAAAGCCGGGGAUCGUAAGACCUGGCGCUUGAAGAGGGGCCCGCGUCCGAUUAGCUAGUUGGGGGGUAACGGCUCACCAAGGCUCCGAUCGGUAUCCGGCCUGAGAGGGCGGACGGACACACUGGAACUGAGACACGGUCCAGACUCCUACGGGAGGCAGCAGUGGGGAAUUGUUCGCAAUGGGCGCAAGCCUGACGACGCAACGCCGCGUGGAGGAUGAAGACUUUCGGGUC
RNAcentral lists this ribosomal RNA (408 nucleotides) under uncultured bacterium. RNAcentral's name for it is "bacterial SSU rRNA". It matches the Rfam family "Bacterial small subunit ribosomal RNA", at positions 32 to 424 of the family's 1533-position model. The record is from RNAcentral.